UAUUGGAUUGGUUAGAAAAUUUUUACUUAGUUUUUCUUUUAUGAAAGUAUUCUUUAUUUUAUUAUUCAAGUCGAACAAAUUUUUUUAUUUAUAGAUUAUGAGUACCGUGGGGGAAAUUUUUGAAAAUUUUUUAAAGUAUAGUUUAAUGCUAGUACCUUGUGUAUCAGGGUUUAUUAAAAGAUAAUUUUAUAUGAAAGAUUCCCGAAUUGAGAAGAGCUAAUUUUUAAUUUAUUUUAUUGUUGCAUAAAUAAUUUAUAAUUGGGGAUUAGUAAUGAAAUGUUAUUCGUUUCUCACUAUAUCUGGUUGUUUAAGAAAUAUAUUUAAUAUAGGGGUAGAUUUUUCUUUCAUUUUGAUUAGUGUCAUGAAGUCUUCUUCUUACUGUAGCAGGGAUUAUCUUGCUAGGGGAUUUUCUAUAAUUUUAAUUGUUUACGGUAUUAAUGUAGGAUUAGAAUUUUCCAUCUUUAAUAUGUUAUAAUUAAUUUACCUGAUUAAUGAUUUUUAUUUGUUUAGAGAUUUUAUUAAACCAUAAUAUUUAAUUUAUUCGUCGUAGGGAAUUUGAUGGAAUUAGUAUAAUUUUUUGUAUAAUUGUUUUUAAACGGUAGGUCAUGAUAAGGAACUCGGCAAUUAAUUUUCCCGCCUGUUUAUUAAAAACAUGGUCUUUUGAUUUUAAUUUAAGAUCGGGCCUGCCCAAUGAUUGAUUAAAUGGCCGCGGUAUUUUGACCGUGCGAAGGUAGCGUAAUCAUUAGUCUCUUAAUUGGAGACAUGUAUGAAUGGUCUGACGAGGAAAAAGCUGUCUCGUUAUGGAUUAUAGAAUUUAAAUUUUGAGUGAAAAUGCUUAAAUGGCGAUUAAAGACGAGAAGACCCUAUAGAGUUUAAUAAUUUGUACUUUUGAGUUAAAAGGAAUAGUGUUCUUAAAAGGAUUUAAAUUAUUUUGUUGGGGUGACAGGAAAAUUUAAUUAACUUUUCUUUAUUAUUUAUGCUGAUUAGCAGUUAUAUGAUCCACUUUUUGUGAAUAUAAGAUUAAAUUACCUUAGGGAUAACAGCGUAAUCUUUUCUAAGAGUUCAAAUCGAAGAAGAGGUUUGCGACCUCGAUGUUGGAUUAAAAUAUUGGUGCGGUGCAGCAGCUGCAUGCAUAGGUCUGUUCGACCUUUAAAUUUUUACAUGAUCUGAGUUUAAACCGGCGUGAGCCAGGUUGGUUUCUAUCUUUAUUAUUUGAUUUCAGGUUAGUACGAAAGGACCCCUUGAUUUGUAUAUUACAUUUAUUUGGAUGAACAUU
Molecule: ribosomal RNA, 1276 nt
Filed under: Apatides fortis
Lineage: Eukaryota; Metazoa; Arthropoda; Insecta; Coleoptera; Bostrichidae
Description: large subunit ribosomal RNA
Rfam family: Bacterial large subunit ribosomal RNA (bases 822-1213)
Source: RNAcentral